GGGAGGGGCCGCCCCCUCCCCCCGCCUCCCCCUGCCCCUCCCCCACCCCUUCGCCCUCCCCCUCCCCCCACCCAGGAUCUGCCCCUCCCCCCCCCGGCCCGGACCUCGCGGGACCCACAGAGACCCCCCGCAAAGGUCCAUCAGAGCAGCAGCGGAACCAGUUGGAGGAGCUGAGGAAAUUUGGGGCUCAGUUUAAGCUCCAGCCCAGCAGCGCCCCCCAGGACCCCCCCCCAGAGCCCCUCCCCCCACCCCGCAGCGGCCCCUCCCCCCCCGGAGCCCCCCCCGAGGCCCAAGGGGGGGGUGGGGGAGGGGCGGGGGGAGGGGCCGGGACCCCCCCGGGGACCCCCCAGGACAAGGACGAGUGACAUCUAUGCCCCUCCCCCUCCCUAUAUCUCCUAUAUACCCCAGCUCCAUGUGCAGGCCCCCCAAAUGUACCCGUACCCCGUGUCCACCCCCCCCCAAGGCAAAUACCGGGGAGGCAAAGGUUCCCUCCCCCCGCCGCCGCCGCGCUCGGAGCAGCCUCACGCCCCUCCCCCCCCAGCCCCUCCCCCGUCGGCAUCCGCCCCUCCUCCCCCUCCCCUGGUGCCUGUGGCCGCCCCUCCCCCCCCGCCCCCUCCCCCCCAUUACUCCCAGUACAUCUCGUACGGACCCCCCCAGGCCUUCGGGGGGGGGGCAGCCGCUCGUGCAGCCCCUCCCACACUACCCCUCGCAGGCUGUGUUCGCGCCGCUGCUCCCCGGCAGCCCCCGCCUGCACCCCUCCCCCACCCUGGUGUCCUCCGCCGCCCCUCCCCCGCCCCAGUUCCCUCCCGGCGACCAAUCAGGAGCCCCACAGACCCUGUACG
RNAcentral lists this long non-coding RNA (842 nucleotides) under Strigops habroptila (Kakapo). Its description in RNAcentral is "lncRNA (ENSSHBG00005018417.1)". The record is from RNAcentral. Lineage: Eukaryota; Metazoa; Chordata; Aves; Psittaciformes; Psittacidae.